Molecule: ribosomal RNA, 550 nt
Filed under: Amanita sp. Arora11346
Lineage: Eukaryota; Fungi; Basidiomycota; Agaricomycetes; Agaricales; Amanitaceae
Description: eukaryotic LSU rRNA
Rfam family: Eukaryotic large subunit ribosomal RNA
Source: RNAcentral
GAUUCCCCUAGUAACUGCGAGUGAAGCGGGAAAAGCUCAAAUUUAAAAUCUGGCAGUGGUUCACUGCCCGAGUUGUAAUCUAGAGAAGUGUUGCUCACACUGGACCAUGUAUAAGUCUUCUGGAAUGAAGCGUCAUAGAGGGUGAGAAUCCCGUCUUUGACAUGGACUCCCAGUGUAUUUGUAGCAUGCUCUCAAAGAGUCGAGUUGUUUGGGAAUGCAGCUCUAAAUGGGUGGUAACCUCCAUCUAAAGCUAAAUAUUGGCGAGAGACCGAUAGUGAACAAGUACCGUGAGGGAAAGAUGAAAAGAACUUUGGAAAGAGAGUUAAAAAGUACGUGAAAUUGUUGAAAGGGAAACGCUUGAAGUCAGUCACAUUGGCCAGGGAUCAACUUGCUUAAGUGUACUUCCUGGCUGAUGGGCCAACAUCAGCUUUGACUGUCAGAGAAGGGUAGGGGGAAUGUGGCACCCUUCUUGGGUGUGUUAUAGCCCUCUGUCAUAUAUGGCGGUUGGGGCUGAGGAAUGCAGCGCGCCACAAGGCCGGGUWUCGACCAC